UACAGAGGGUGCGAGCGUUAAUCGGAAUUACUGGGCGUAAAGCGUGCGUAGACGGCUAUCUAAGUCGGGUGUGAAAGCCCCGGGCUCAACCUGGGAAUUGCAUUCGAGACUGAAUAGCUAGGGUACGGUAGAGGGAAGCGGAAUUUCCGGUGUAGCGGUGAAAUGCGUAGAUAUCGGGAGGAACACCAGUGGCGAAGGCGACUUCCUGGCCUGUUCUUGACGCUGAGGCGCGAAAGCUAGGGUAGCAAACGGG
This 253-nucleotide ribosomal RNA is filed under the name uncultured bacterium. Its description in RNAcentral is "partial 16S ribosomal RNA". It matches the Rfam family "Bacterial small subunit ribosomal RNA", at positions 524 to 776 of the family's 1533-position model. The record is from RNAcentral.